This 459-nucleotide ribosomal RNA is filed under the name uncultured bacterium. RNAcentral describes it as "partial 16S ribosomal RNA". It matches the Rfam family "Bacterial small subunit ribosomal RNA", at positions 338 to 795 of the family's 1533-position model. The record is from RNAcentral.
CCUACGGGAGGCUGCAGUGAGGAAUAUUGGUCAAUGGGCGGGAGCCUGAACCAGCCAAGCCGCGUGAGGGAAGAAGGUACAGCGUAUCGUAAACCUCUUUUGUCAGGGAACAAAGGCGGGGACUAGUCCCCGGAUGAGGGUACCUGAAGAAAAAGCAUCGGCUAACUCCGUGCCAGCAGCCGCGGUAAUACGGAGGAUGCGAGCGUUAUCCGGAUUUAUUGGGUUUACAGGGUGCGCAGGCGGCCUGUUAAGUCAGCGGGAAAAGCCCGGGGCUCAACCCCGGCGAGCCGUUGAAACUGGCGGGCUGGAGUUGGAGAGAAGUACGCGGAAUGCGCGGUGUAGCGGUGAAAUGCUUAGAUAUCGCGCAGAACCCCGAUUGCGAAGGCAGCGUACCGGCUCCACACUGACGCUGAGGCACGAAAGCGUGGGUAUCGAACAGGAUUAGAUACCCGAGUAGUC